Molecule: ribosomal RNA, 110 nt
Filed under: Tepidimonas ignava
Lineage: Bacteria; Pseudomonadati; Pseudomonadota; Betaproteobacteria; Burkholderiales
Source: RNAcentral
UGACGACCAUAGCAAGGUGGUCCCACCCCUUCCCAUCCCGAACAGGGCCGUGAAACACCUUCGCGCCGAUGAUAGUGCGCCCCUUGAGCGCGUGAAAGUAGGUCAUCGUC